AUUGAACGCUGGCGGCAGGCCUAACACAUGCAAGUCGAGCGGAAGCAGGGUGCUUGCUCCUGGAUUCAGCGGCGGACGGGCGGGUAAUGCAUGGGAAUAUGCCUGGUAGUGGGGGAUAACGUGCGGACACGGGGGAUAAUACCGCAUACGCCCUGAGGGCGUACGUGGGGGAUCUUCGGACCUUACGACAUUAGACGAGUCUAGGUCGGAUUAGCUAGUUGGUGGGGUAAAGGCCUACAAAGGCGACGAUCCGUAACUGGUCAGAGUGGAUGAUCAGUCACACUGGAACUGAGACACGGUCCAGACUCCUACGGGAGGCAGCAGUGGGGAAUAUUGGACAAUGGGCGAAAGCCUGAUCCAGCCAUGCCGCGUGGGUGAAGAAGGACUUCGGAUUGUAAAGCACUUUAAGUUGGAAGGAAGGGCAGUAAGUUAAUACCUUGCUGUUUUGACGUUACCAACAGAAUAAGCACCGGCUAACUUCGUG
RNAcentral lists this ribosomal RNA (484 nucleotides) under uncultured bacterium. RNAcentral's name for it is "partial 16S ribosomal RNA". It matches the Rfam family "Bacterial small subunit ribosomal RNA", at positions 30 to 507 of the family's 1533-position model. The record is from RNAcentral.